Long non-coding RNA from Contarinia nasturtii (swede midge), 2176 nucleotides. RefSeq lists it as uncharacterized. The transcript is spliced from 5 exons. NCBI's taxonomy places the organism in Eukaryota, Metazoa, Arthropoda, Insecta, Diptera, Cecidomyiidae. The record is from RefSeq and is a predicted model, not a curated record.
UGUGUUUAGUAGCAUUUUUUUUAUGUCAUAUCGAAAAAUUUAUUUUUCAUUGCAAUUGCAUUAAAAUUCUGUAUUGACAAUGGGUGGACGAAAAAGAAACGGAGUUGGUACUUUAUGUGGAUCGAGACCGAAAAGACGUAAAGUGGGCAAACUUCCAGAAGAAAGUGGAAUAUUAGCCAUAAUGCAGUGGCGGAUUAUCAUACAAUAUUUGACGAACAACUGGAAAUUUUUCCAUGAAGGUGAUGGUAUCCACAUAAUUGAAGGAUGCUUGUUUACUUUGUUGCGCAAAUAUAAAGAAGACAAAGACAUGGUGCCCGAAUUUCGAGACAUAGUCGAGGCAUUGGACGGAGACAAUCGGUUCGCAUGGCCCAAUAAUGAUUAUUUUGGGAAUCUUAUGAAAUAUUUAUUCCAACAACAUGCACGAAAUGCCAUAACCAACCUCACCACAUGACAAACGACUUCGUGACUACCUGAGAUAGUUUGUGUGGGAACACAACUUCGACAAUCUGGAUCCAAACGACGUAUUUGAUGAUCAUGAUGUCAACAAUGCAGUGAAGUGAACCAUUGAUAGAUACGAUUCAACCAGAGGUGAUGCGAUUAGAUUUGACAAACGGAAUCGGUUGCUCACUUGUGUGCGAAAUAUUGGCGAACCAGAAGACGACAACAUCGCAGAAGAUACAAAAGAGAAUUGGUUCACAAUGUUGCACAUGCAGAAAAAGAUCUAUGAUUAUCACAAUUGGUUACAAAACAGCCCCGAAAAUAUUCCGACUGACAUUGAGCUUCCCAUAAACAAAAAUCUUUCGGUAUUAGCAAUUUGCACACAUUUGCGAAAGAAUAUUAAAAUUGAUGCCGAUAUAUUGUAUCAAAUGAUGUGUGAAACCAAAAUCAUCCCAUUAGAUGAGUAUGGGCGGCAAGUUGAUGUCACGCAUGUCUGUGAAAACAAGGUUCAUUUAUGAACAAAAUCAAUGGAAUAUUGAAUGCGAACAAAGAAAUACAUUAUCAUGUUGAAACCGGUGGUGUGUCAGCAUCGAUUUUAUAUAUAUUUUCGCGAUACGUCAUACAUUGGAACAGUUGGUGAGCGAUGAACUGAUAAAAAAGCGUUACGAGGAUGGCUUUUACAUCUACGAAUUUGGAAUCAAUCCGGGCAUGAACACGUGAGACGCGACCGUUAUACGGCAUAUCGACUCCGGCAAAGAGAUGAAUUUCAAGACCAGCAGUUUGUCGCCUUCGAACAAAACGAUCGAAAUGAUAGAACCCGUUAUCCGCAAAUGCCGAGUCCAAAAGGAGAAAAUUGAAGAGACUAUUUAAGCCAUCGCUUGAGGAUUAUGAAGAAAGCCAUUGACGUGUAUACGAGCGAAAGAUACACUCGUCUACGAUUUGAUAAAUACAUCGGAUCGAAUCGAUCGAGUAUGUGACAAAAUUGCUGCCAUGCUGACAAAUGGUAAGCCUUCCAUAAUUUUCUUCAGAGCGGCGAAUAUCUCACCCAACUCGCCGAUAAAGAUUAAGAGGAAUAUUCGCUGCCCUGAUUAAAAGUUUUAAGAAAAUACUGGGCAAUGUGGUGAAAAUGGUAAACGAGUUCCGAACGUCAUGAAUGUGUGCACGCUGUUUCGAACCCUUUGGUAACAUGUAACAUUGGGUCAUCGUUUCAAAAUGUGCGAUUGGUGUGUGACAGAUAACAACGACUGGCCAGAAGAAUUGAAACUACCCGAAAAAAUCGUGACGAUGAAGAGCAAACGAAUGCUGCGCGAUGCAAUGGUUGCGAAUCCAAAUCAAGCUGUCGGUUUUGUGUCAAAAGUCAUUUGUUACCGAAAAAACUGGCGUCAAAACGAGACAUACGAUGCGGUUAAGUGCGUUUCUCAGCUACCAAGCAUUAUUCGCGACGAAAAUGUCAUCGAUUUUACUGUAAAUUACAUGCCUCUUGAUGAUAACUUCUAUGUCGCCGAAGAGGAAGCUAUCCUGAACACUAUUUGGCACCGGGACAUUGCAGCUGCAAAGCUGAUACUGUACAAAGCCAUUGUGGACUCUUCGGAUUUGAUCUGCAUCGUAACUUCCAUGUUGAACGCCUCGUCCUUCCAAGAUGGAUUCGAAUCCACUAACGAGAUAGAAUUAAGAUCGAUGAAUUUAAAAUUUGAAACUAAUUAAUGUAAUUGGAUAUUUAUUAUAUCUAUUGAAAAUA